Molecule: ribosomal RNA, 484 nt
Filed under: uncultured bacterium
Lineage: Bacteria
Description: partial 16S ribosomal RNA
Rfam family: Bacterial small subunit ribosomal RNA
Source: RNAcentral
AUUGAACGCUGGCGGCAGGCCUAACACAUGCAAGUCGAGCGGAUGAAGGGAGCUUGCUCCUGGAUUCAGCGGCGGACGGGUGAGUAAUGCCUAGGAAUCUGCCUGGUAGUGGGGGAUAACGUCCGGAAACGGGCGCUAAUACCGCAUACGUCCUGAGGGAGAAAGUGGGGGAUCUUCGGACCUCACGCUAUCAGAUGAGCCUAGGUCGGAUUAGCUAGUUGGUGGGGUAAAGGCCUACCAAGGCGACGAUCCGUAACUGGUCUGAGAGGAUGAUCAGUCACACUGGAACUGAGACACGGUGCAGACUCCUACGGGAGGCAGCAGUGGGGAAUAGUGGACAAGGGGCGAAAGCCUGAUCCAGCCAUGCCGCGUGUGUGAAGAAGGUCUUCGGAUUGUAAAGCACUUUAAGUUGGGAGGAAGGGCAGUAAGUUAAGACCUUGCUGUUUUGACGGUACCAACAGAAUAAGCACCGGCUAACUUCGUG